RNAcentral lists this ribosomal RNA (402 nucleotides) under bacterium. RNAcentral describes it as "partial 16S ribosomal RNA". It matches the Rfam family "Bacterial small subunit ribosomal RNA", at positions 355 to 776 of the family's 1533-position model. The record is from RNAcentral.
UGGGGAAUUUUGCACAAUGGGGGAAACCCUGAUGCAGCGACGCCGCGUGAUUUAGAAGGCCUUCGGGUUGUAAAAAUCUUUUCUAUGGGAAGAAAAUGACAGUACCAUAGUAAUAAGGACCGGCUAAUUACGUGCCAGCAGCCGCGGUAAUACGUAAGGUCCGAGCUCUGUCCGGAAUCAUUGGGCGUAAAGGGUACGGAGGCGGGUAAGCAAGUUAGAAGUGGAAUCCUAUAGCUCAACUAUAGUAAGCUUUUAAAAGUGAACAUCUUGAGGUAUGGAAGGGAAAGUGGAAUUCCUUGUGUAGCGGUGAGAUGCGUGGAUAUAAGGAGAAAUACCGGUGGCGAAGGCAAGUUUCUGGCCAUAACCUGACGCUGAGGUACGAAAGCGUGGGUAGCAAACAGG